RNAcentral lists this ribosomal RNA (253 nucleotides) under uncultured bacterium. RNAcentral's name for it is "partial 16S ribosomal RNA". It matches the Rfam family "Bacterial small subunit ribosomal RNA", at positions 524 to 776 of the family's 1533-position model. The record is from RNAcentral.
UACGUAGGGUGCAGGCGUUAAUCGGAAUUACUGGGCGUAAAGCGUGCGCAGGCGGCUCCUUAAGUCAGAUGUGAAAUCCCCGGGCCUAACCUGGGAACUGCGUUUGAAACUGGGGAGCUGGAGUGUAGAAGAGGGGGGUGGAAUUCCAGGUGUAGCAGUGAAAUGCGUAGAGAUCUGGAGGAACACCGAUGGCGAAGGCAGCCCCCUGGGCUAACACUGACGCUCAUGCACGAAAGCGUGGGGAGCAAACAGG